RNAcentral lists this unclassified non-coding RNA (240 nucleotides) under soil metagenome. RNAcentral describes it as "partial contains 5.8S ribosomal RNA, internal transcribed spacer 2, and large subunit ribosomal RNA". The record is from RNAcentral.
AACCAUAGAAACCUGCGGAGUACCUGCGGAGGGAUCAUUAUUGAAUUUUCCUAAAGAAAAAUUUUGUGUUGUUCUCUCGAAAGAGAGUGGUGCAAUACAAGAUUUUUCUCAAACAAACGAUCACAACUAAUAAUUGAAUUGAAUUGGUUUGGUUUGGCUUGAUAUUAUAACAACAAGUGUUUGCCUGAUAAUCAAGAUGAUUUGGAUUGGAGAAAGAAAUACAACUUUUAACAAUGGAUC